CCCUACGGGACGCAGCAGUGAGGAAUAUUGGUCAAUGGGAGAGAUCCUGAACCAGCCAAGCCGCGUGAGGGAAGACGGCCCUAUGGGUUGUAAACCUCUUUUGUCGGAGAACAAAACCCGGGACGAGUCCCGGACUGCGUGUAUCCGAAGAAAAAGCAUCGGCUAACUCCGUGCCAGCAGCCGCGGUAAUACGGAGGAUGCGAGCGUUAUCCGGAUUUAUUGGGCGUAAGGGAACGCAGGCGGUCUUUUAAGCCUGAUGUGAAAGCCUUCGGCUUAACCGGAGUAGUGCAUUGGAAACUGGGAGG
RNAcentral lists this ribosomal RNA (305 nucleotides) under uncultured bacterium. Its description in RNAcentral is "bacterial SSU rRNA". It matches the Rfam family "Bacterial small subunit ribosomal RNA", at positions 337 to 640 of the family's 1533-position model. The record is from RNAcentral.